Molecule: non-coding RNA, 27 nt
Filed under: Rattus norvegicus (Norway rat)
Lineage: Eukaryota; Metazoa; Chordata; Mammalia; Rodentia; Muridae
Source: RNAcentral
UACCCAGCCUUAGAAGAAGGCAGUGCA